RNAcentral lists this ribosomal RNA (253 nucleotides) under uncultured bacterium. RNAcentral's name for it is "partial 16S ribosomal RNA". It matches the Rfam family "Bacterial small subunit ribosomal RNA", at positions 524 to 776 of the family's 1533-position model. The record is from RNAcentral.
UACGUAGGGGGCGAGCGUUGUCCGGAUUUAUUGGGCGUAAAGCGCGUGUAGGCGGCUAAGUAGGUCCGCUGUGAAAACUCGAGGCUUAACCUCGAGCUGUCGGUGGAAACCAUUUGGCUAGAGUCCGGAAGAGGAGAGCGGAAUUCCCGGUGUGGCGGUGAAAUGUGUUGAUAUCGGUGGGAACGCCAGUGGCGAAAGCGGCAAACUUGACCCUUCCUGACGCUGAUGCGCGAAAGCUAGGGGAGCAAACGGG